CAAUAGCGUAUAUUAAAGUUGUUGCAGUUAAAAAGCUCGUAGUUGGAUUUCUGUUUGCGACUUGUUGCGGUUUGCUUUUCUGUGAACUGCCUUUCGCUUACAUUUUCUCGAGGAUCCCAUGUGCCCUUCACUGGGUGUGUGGUGAGACUCGGGACCUUUACUUUGAAAAAAUUAGAGUGUUCAAAGCAGGCCUUCGCUUGAAUACAUUAGCAUGGAAUAAUAGAAUAGGACUUUGGUUCUGUUUUGUUGGUUUAUAGGACCGGGGUAAUGAUUAAUAGGGAUAGUUGGGGGCAUUAGUAUUUAAUUGUCAGAGGUGAAAUUCUUGGAUUUAUGAAAGACUAACAUCUGCGAAAGCAUUUGCCAAGGAUGUUUNCAUUAA
This 379-nucleotide ribosomal RNA is filed under the name uncultured eukaryote. Its description in RNAcentral is "partial 18S ribosomal RNA". It matches the Rfam family "Eukaryotic small subunit ribosomal RNA", at positions 592 to 976 of the family's 1831-position model. The record is from RNAcentral.